AUUUUCUUAGUAUAUUUAGUACUGUUGACUUCCAAUCAACAAGACCCAGACAAAUACUGGGAGAAAAUA
Molecule: transfer RNA, 69 nt
Filed under: Makalata macrura (Long-tailed armored tree-rat)
Lineage: Eukaryota; Metazoa; Chordata; Mammalia; Rodentia; Echimyidae
Description: tRNA-Gly
Source: RNAcentral